GCGGUAACACCGGCAGCUCAAGUGGUGGCCGCUUUUAUUGGGCCUAAAGCGUUCGUAGCCGGCCUGAUAAGUCUCUGGUGAAAUCCCGCAGCUUAACUGUGGGAAUUGCUGGAGAUACUAUCAGGCUUGAGGCCGGGAGAGGCUGGAGGAACUCCCAGGGUAGGGGUGAAAUCCUAUAAUCCUGG
RNAcentral lists this ribosomal RNA (185 nucleotides) under uncultured Methanobacterium sp. RNAcentral describes it as "partial 16S ribosomal RNA". It matches the Rfam family "Archaeal small subunit ribosomal RNA", at positions 467 to 651 of the family's 1478-position model. Lineage: Archaea; Methanobacteriati; Methanobacteriota; Methanobacteria; Methanobacteriales; Methanobacteriaceae. The record is from RNAcentral.